Molecule: long non-coding RNA, 744 nt
Filed under: Homo sapiens (human)
Lineage: Eukaryota; Metazoa; Chordata; Mammalia; Primates; Hominidae
Description: non-protein coding lnc-PDE8A-3:2
Source: RNAcentral
AUGUUGAGUCUCCUGAACAGGAGACAGGAGGAGAGGCUACGUGAACAGGAGGAGAGGCUACGUGAACAGGAGGAGAGGCUACGUGAACAGGAGGAGAGGCUGUGUGAACAGGAGGAGAGGCUACGUGAACAGGAGGAGAGGCUGUGUGAACAGGAGAAGCUGCCAGGGCAGGAGAGGCUGCUGGAAGAGGUGGAGAAGCUGUUAGAACAGGAGAGGCGGCAGGAGGAGCAGGAGAGGCUGCUGGAGAGGGAGAGGCUGCUGGAAGAGGUGGAGAAGCUGUUAGAACAGGAGAGGCUUCGGCAACAGGAUGAGAGGCUGUGGCAGCAGGAGACUCUGCAGGAGCUGGAGAGGCUGCGGGAGCUGGAGAGGAUGCUGGAGCUGGGGUGGGAAGCCCUGUACGAGCAGCGGGCCGAGCCACGCAGCGGCUUCGAGGAGCUGAACAACGAGAACAAGAGCACACUGCAGUUGGAGCAGCAAGUAAAGGAGCUGAAGAAGUCGGGUGGAGCUGAAGAGCCAAGAGGCUCCGAGUCUGCAGCAGCAGCCAGACCAGUAGCUGGAGCCCCAGUCCCACAAGGAGCUUGGAUGUGCGGACAAGCAGGGUGGACUCCCCAGGAGCACCCAGGCUUGGGUGGAGAAGCUGUUGGUACAGGAGAGGCGGCAGGAGGAGCAGGAGAGGCUGCAUGCCAUUCUUUUCGGGCUGCCGAGAACAGGGAGCUAAACAUCACCAUCAUCUAAGAGCGGGUC